CCAGAUUAAGAGCCCAGUGGGCCUGGUGCUGACAAUUAUGACGGGCCUAAUUACAGAAUCAUAUCGACCAAAAACAGUAAAACACUCCCAAGCGUCAUGUAUCUGAUGGAGAUGGUGCUGGAGAGAAAGAAAACAGCAGCUAUAAGAAAACACAUACCCUAGGCUAAUCUCUCUCUAAUUUAUGUUUUCAUCUUUCAAGUAAAUACAUAACCCCUAACAGCAGUGUCCAGUCAAGCAGGAAGUCAAUGGGCACGGUAAAAGGGUGUGCCAC
Non-coding RNA from Pelobates cultripes (western spadefoot toad), 271 nucleotides. Lineage: Eukaryota; Metazoa; Chordata; Amphibia; Anura; Pelobatidae. The record is from the annotation of a GenBank genome assembly.